UGCUGGGUUCAUGGAUCCACCUGAGAAUGGACCAGCGGCGAGGAUGUUGGCACCAACGAUAAGACCAAUGGCCAGAGGAGCAAUGGUUCCAAGAGAACCUUUCUUGGGAUCAGCGGCGGUGGCAUAGACUGUGUAGACCAAAGCGAAGGUGAUGAUGAUCUCCAUCACAACUCCUUCAAUGGCUCCUACUCCAGCCGCAACGCUGUGUGUUGGAACCGCCUGCGUUUUCACAUAGUUUAAGCGUUUGUUUCAUUAGUAUCUAACUAUUAAACAGCCUCAAGAACUGUAUACUCGAACAAAAGAAAACUAAAAUAAUGUUCUUUCGAAUUAGACAAAAAGUGACAAUAUUAUAUAACUUCAAUUUUUAAACAAACAUGUGUUUAACAUAUGUUUUUUUUUUGAGAAAGUGUCUAAUAUAUAGUUAACAUAAACUACAGAAAUGGACAAAAGAAAUAUUGAGAAAACUCUUUUCUUUUCUUCAAACUUGUUAUAUAUAUUGUAACCUAGUUAAUAAUCUAAUUAGAUUUGCUUUGUUGACCUGCAAAGCUACAAAAACAAGUUUUUGUUACCUGAAGGCUUUAUUUUGCUAAAAAUUACAAGUAGAGAUUUAAUAUAGUUGACAGAUUUAUUCUUCCUUUUAAUGUAAACAUUUUGCUUUGUUUUUAGGUUGUACCAGUGGAAACUAUACAAACUGUGAUUUUAAUUAUAUUAAUAAGGAUGCUGUGAUGAGGACAUACCAAGCCACCGGUAACGAACUUAAGAAGGAAGCAAGCGGCGGUGGAG
Molecule: long non-coding RNA, 783 nt
Filed under: Brassica rapa (field mustard)
Lineage: Eukaryota; Viridiplantae; Streptophyta; Magnoliopsida; Brassicales; Brassicaceae
Description: long non-coding RNA (BRAP_LNC000672)
Source: RNAcentral